GAUGAACGCUGGCGGCGUGCCUAAUACAUGCAAGUCGAGCGAACGGACGAGAAGCUUGCUUCUCUGAUGUUAGCGGCGGACGGGUGAGUAACACGUGGAUAACCUACCUAUAAGACUGGGAUAACUUCGGGAAACCGGAGCUAAUACCGGAUAAUAUUUUGAACCGCAUGGUUCAAAAGUGAAAGACGGUCUUGCUGUCACUUAUAGAUGGAUCCGCGCUGCAUUAGCUAGUUGGUAAGGUAACGGCUUACCAAGGCAACGAUGCAUAGCCGACCUGAGAGGGUGAUCGGCCACACUGGAACUGAGACACGGACCAGACUCCUACGGGAGGCAGCAGUAGGGAAUCCUCCGCAAUGGGCGAAAGCCUGACGGAGCAACGCCGCGUGAGUGAUGAAGAUCUUCGGAUCGUAAAACUCUGUUAUUAGGGAAGAACAUAUGUGUAAGGAACUGUGCACAUCGUGACGGUACCUAAUCAGAAAGCCACGGCUAACUACGUG
Molecule: ribosomal RNA, 497 nt
Filed under: uncultured bacterium
Lineage: Bacteria
Description: partial 16S ribosomal RNA
Rfam family: Bacterial small subunit ribosomal RNA
Source: RNAcentral